GACGAACGCUGGCGGCGUGCUUAACACAUGCGAGUCGAACGGAAAGGCCCUGCUUUUGUGGGGUGCUCGAGUGGCGAACGGGUGAGUAACCCGUGAGUAACCUGUCCUUGACUUUGGGAUAACUUCAGGAAACUGGGGCUCAUACCGGCUAGGAGCUCCUGCUGCAUGGUGGGGGUUGGAUAGUUUCGGCGGUUGGGGAUGGACUCGCGGCUUAUCAGCUUGUUGGUUGGGUAGUGGCUUACCAAGGCUUUGACGGGUAGCCGGCCUGAGAGGGUGACCGGCCACAUUAGGACUGAGAUACGGCCCAGACUCCUACGGGAGGCAGCAGUGGGGAAGAGUGCACAGUGGGCGGAAGCCUGGUGCGGCACCGCCGCGUGGGGUAAGACGGCCUUCGGGUUGUAAACCGCUUUCGCCUGUGACGAAGCGUGAGUGACGGUAAUGGGUAAAGAAGCACCGGCUAACUACGUG
This 468-nucleotide ribosomal RNA is filed under the name uncultured bacterium. RNAcentral describes it as "partial 16S ribosomal RNA". It matches the Rfam family "Bacterial small subunit ribosomal RNA", at positions 28 to 507 of the family's 1533-position model. The record is from RNAcentral.